RNAcentral lists this ribosomal RNA (194 nucleotides) under uncultured bacterium. RNAcentral describes it as "partial 16S ribosomal RNA". It matches the Rfam family "Bacterial small subunit ribosomal RNA", at positions 338 to 524 of the family's 1533-position model. The record is from RNAcentral.
CCUACGGGAGGCAGCAGUGGGGAACUUUGGACAAUGGGGGAAACCCUGAUCCAGCCAUCCCGCGUGUGCGAUGAAGGCCUUCGGGUUGUAAAGCACUUUUGGCAGGGAAGAAAAGGCUCUGGUUAAUACCUGGAGCUGCUGACGGUACCUGCAGAAUAAGCACCGGCUAACUACGUGCCAGCAGCCGCGGUAAU